RNAcentral lists this long non-coding RNA (239 nucleotides) under Trifolium pratense (red clover). Its description in RNAcentral is "long non-coding RNA (TPRA_LNC004597)". The record is from RNAcentral. Lineage: Eukaryota; Viridiplantae; Streptophyta; Magnoliopsida; Fabales; Fabaceae.
UGUUAUGAAUAAUAUGUAAUGAAUGUCCAUUAUUGUGUAGGUUUUCUUGUCCCCUAAUUGUGUCCUAUAAAUAAGACCACUUUGUUACAAUGUAAAGCACACUUGUGAAUAGAAUAAUAACAAUGGUCUAUUCAUUUCUCUUCUCUCUUUCUCUUCUCCUUCUAUAUUCUUGCUAUUCUUUAGAAAUAGUUCAUAACACGUUAUCAGCACGAUAGUCUCUCCCCUUUCAAAAAAGGUAU